AUGGCUCGCGCCCUCUUCAUCGUCGCGCUCCUCCUGGCCGCCGUCAUGGUGGCGCCGUUCGCGCAGGCGCGCAACGUGGUCACGGAGGACAAGAAGGCCGCCGCGAAAGAGGAGAAAGAGGCUGAAUCGCCGGCGCCCUCGGCUGUCUCGCCCGUCGAGGGGCCUGCCUCCGAGCCCUCCGCGGCGCCCGAGCCUAGCAGCUCUCGCUGA
Molecule: ribosomal RNA, 210 nt
Filed under: Triticum aestivum (bread wheat)
Lineage: Eukaryota; Viridiplantae; Streptophyta; Magnoliopsida; Poales; Poaceae
Description: partial small subunit ribosomal RNA
Source: RNAcentral